CCAGAUCUAGAUCUGAUGGCCCCUAGGCCACCAGUUCAUCCCCACCGGUCCACCAGAGUGCCCCGCAGCCCGAUCCCGCCUCGAUCUUCUCUGCCUCGACGGAGCAGCCGUCGCCGGCCACCAGGAACCGUGCCCUGCCUCGUCCCUCGCCCGCCGGUGACCCCGACUUCAUCCAGGCACUGCCGGUAACCUCGCCCUUGCCUCGCGCUCCUCUUCUUCCCCGUUUUUCCUUGCUCCGCUGUUGAACCGCCUGUCGCUGCUAUUUGUCACCAUAGGGAGCUCCAACGCCUUGAAGCUACAGCGCCGCCGUCGAGUCGCCACAGCCUCGAAUUCUGCCGCCUUCGUGCCGCCCUGCCCUUUCCCGUCCUCCGCCCGAGCCGCCCAGACCCGCGCACGUUGCCGGCAGGAAGCCGUCGCCCCGCCAAGUCCCUCGCCCCGCCUCUGCUUCCAUGCUCCAGAUCGAACACCAAGGCUCAGUGCAGGCCGCCUCCGCUCCUCCUCACCUCGUCCGCGUCGCCGGGAUCGCGUCAAGUCCGCCACCGUCGUCCUCUUCUCGGGAACGAGCUCGACCCUUGCGUCCUCUGCAUCACGGCCGCGCCAAGGCCUCUGCUUCUUGUGCGUUGACCGCGCCAGCCGGCCUACCUCACCGAUAUGUCCCCAGACCUUUGCUCAGCAGCCCCUCGGCCUUUACCCUGUUGGGCUUCCUGCUCAGAUUCGGCCCGUGUCAUUUUUUUCCUGUUCCAGCGAAUUUAGACAUUAUCCAGGAGUUUACAGUUUUGCAGAAAACCCCUCAUGUUCAUGCAUUUAAUAACUAAUUAACCAUGCAUCGGAUUAAAACAAAUUAUAUAUGUAAAAUGCUCAGUUUUCCUUGUACUUUCAUUUUCUGCAACUUUCAUCCAUGUUAAAGAUGUUUAAAAUGUUGCUUGUUUCAAUUUUGCAUAAAUGCCAUGUUAAAAUGGUUUAUUUCAUAACUAAAUAACUGUAGCUCCAAAUUAAAUGUUUUAUAUGUGUAACUUGCUUGGAAAAAUGCAUAGAUUAACUUGGUGCACUUUAUUUUGAUGUUUAACAAUAUUAAAAUAUGCUUUAGGGCAGAACACUACCGAAUUCGUAAAUUGCACAUGAGGAUUUUCCGGAAUUGUUGUUUGUUAUUCUGGCCUCAUUUAAACUUACCUAGAUAGGUAGUUUGAUUAUGCUUCACCCGUUGCCAUGUUUAACAACAUUUAAUAUUGUUGAGUAGAUUAAACAGGAGAGAACCAAAUAAUUGUUGCGGGGUUUCGUCAAUAUGCAACUCGUUACAUAUUGAGCUCCACUUAACUUGUAGUGUUGUUUGUGCACUUUGCCAUGCCAUGACUCAUUAAACCGGACAUGCAUCAUACUUGAUUGUGCAUCAUGCCAUGUUUAUGUGAUGGUUGUUUACCAUGUUGUUUGCUUCUUUCCGGUGAUGCUUCUUCUUGAUAGUUCCGGUUAUGUUGCGAUUGUGAGGUUUCGUUCCACUACGUUGGUUCGUCUACUUCGUGGACUCGUUCUUCUUUCUAGCGGGAUUUCAGGCAAGAUGAACAUUACCCUCGAUAUCACUUCUAUCUUUGCUUGCUAAUUGUUCGUUCUAUCGCUAUGCCACGCUACCUACCACUUGUUUAUCAUGCCUCCCAUUUUUGCCAUGUCAAGCCUCUUACCCUCCUUCCUAUCAAACCGUUGUUUGGCUAUGUUACUGCUUUUGCUUAGCCCCUCUUAUAGCAUUGUUAGUUGCAGGUGAAGUUGAAGAUUGCUCCAUGUUGGAGCAUGGUUAUGUUGGGAUAUCACAAAAUCUCUUAUUUAAUUAAUGCAUCUAUAUACUUGGUAAAGGGUAGAAGGAUCAGCCUUUUUCCUGUUGUUUUGUUUCACUCUUGCCGCCCUAGUUUCCGUCAUACCGGUGUUAUGUUCCUUGAUUUUGCGUUCCUUACGUGGUUGGGUUAUGGGACUCCUUCAUAGUUCACUUUGACUAAAACUCCUCCAGCAAGGCCCAACCUUGGUUUUAGAUUUGCCUCACCUAAGACUUUCCCUUGGAUUUUCACGAGCCCAAGGGUCAUCUUUAUUUACCCCCCCCCCCCCGGGCCAGUGCUCCUGUGAGUGUUGGUCCGAACUAGAGUCCUUUGCAGCGCCACCUCAGGGAAACUUGAGGGCUGGUUUUAGUUUUACGGAGUGCUCAUUUGGUGUGUCCUGAGAACGAGAUAUGUGCAGCUCCUAUUGGGAUUUGUCUGCACAGUCGGGUGGUCUUGCUGGUCUUGUUUGCCAUUGUUGAAAUGUCUUGUACCGGGAUUCCGAGACUGAUCGGGUCUUUCCGGGAGAAGAAUAUCCUUCGUUUAUUGUGAGAGCUUGUGAUGGGCUAAGUUGGGACACACCUACAGGGUAUAAACUUUUGAAAGCCGUGCCCGCGGUUAUGUGGCAGAUGGGAAUUUGUUAAUGUCCAGUUGUAGAGAACUUGACACUUGACUUAAUUAAAAUACAUCAACCGCGUGUGUAGCCGUGAUGGUCUCUUUUCGGCGGAGUCCGAGAAGUGAACAUGGUUUGGGUUAUGUAUGAACGUAAGUAGUUUCAGGAUCACUUCUAGCUUCUCGACCGUUGCGUUGCUUCUCUUCUCGCUCUUAUUUGCGUAUGUUAGCCACCAUAUAUGUUUAGUGCUUGCUGCAGCUCCACCCCAUUACCCCUUUCCUACCCAUAAGCUUAAAUAGUCUUGAUCUCGCAGGUUUUGAGAUUGCUGAGUCCUCGUGACUCACAGAUACUACCAAAACAGUUGCAGGUGCCGGUGAUACCAGCGUAGGUGAUGCUACCGAACUCAAGUGGGAGUUCGACGAGGACCUUGGUCGUUACUAUGUUUCGUAUCCUGAUGAUCAGUAGUGGUGCCCAGUUGGGACGACCGGGGAUCUAGCAUUUGGGGUUGUCUUCCUUUUCAUUUGUAAUCGUCCGUAGCCGGACUAUGUGUGUACUCUGAUUGAUGUAUGUUUAAUUAAUGUAUUGUGUGAAGUGGCGAUUGUAAGCCAGCUCUUUAUCCGAUUCUUGUUCAGUACAUGGGAUUGUGUGAAGAUGACCCUUCUUGC
Molecule: long non-coding RNA, 3074 nt
Filed under: Triticum aestivum (bread wheat)
Lineage: Eukaryota; Viridiplantae; Streptophyta; Magnoliopsida; Poales; Poaceae
Description: long non-coding RNA (TAES_LNC018012)
Source: RNAcentral